This 727-nucleotide ribosomal RNA is filed under the name uncultured bacterium. Its description in RNAcentral is "bacterial SSU rRNA". It matches the Rfam family "Bacterial small subunit ribosomal RNA", at positions 774 to 1495 of the family's 1533-position model. The record is from RNAcentral.
AGGAUUAGAUACCCGGGUAGUCCCAGCCCUAAACGAUGCGGGCUAGGUGUUGGAGGUGUCGACCCCUCCAGUGCUGCUAAGCUAACGCAUUAAGCACCCCGCCUGGGGAGUACGGCCGCAAGGCUAAAACUCAAAGGAAUUGACGGGGCCCCGCACAAGCAGCGGAGCACGUGGUUUAAUUCGAUGCAACGCGAAGAACCUUACCAGGGCUUGACAUGGUCGGGAAAACCGUAGAAAUACGGUCCUCCUUCGGGACUCGAUCACAGGUGGUGCAUGGCUGUCGUCAGCUCGUGUCGUGAGAUGUUGGGUUAAGUCCCGCAACGAGCGCAACCCCUGUCCCAUGUUGCCAGCGAGUCAUGUCGGGGACUCAUGGGAGACUGCCGGUGACAAAUCGGAGGAAGGUGGGGAUGAUGUCAAGUCAUCAUGCCCCUUAUGUCCUGGGCUACACACGUGCUACAUUGGCCGGUACAGAGGGCUGCAAACCCGCGAGGGUGAGCGAAUCCCAAAAAGCCGGUCCCGGUUCGGAUUGAAGGCUGAAACUCGCCUUCAUGAAGGCGGAGUUGCUAGUAAUCGCGGAUCAGCAACGUCGCGGUGAAUACGUUCUCGGGGCUUGUACACACCGCCCGUCACACCACGAAAGUCGGCAAUACCCGAAGCCGGUGAGCUAACCCCUCGGGGAGGCAGCCGUCGAAGGUAGGGUUGAUGAUUGGGGUGAAGUCGUAACAAG